RNAcentral lists this ribosomal RNA (767 nucleotides) under uncultured bacterium. RNAcentral describes it as "bacterial SSU rRNA". It matches the Rfam family "Bacterial small subunit ribosomal RNA", at positions 28 to 776 of the family's 1533-position model. The record is from RNAcentral.
GACGAACGCUGGCGGCGUGCGUAAUACAUGCAAGUCGAGCGAAGUUUUUCUGGUGCUUGCACUAGAAAAACUAGCGGCGAACGGGUGAGUAACACGUAAAGAACCUGCCUCAUAGACUGGGACAACUAUUGGAAACGAUAGCUAAUACCGGAUAACAGUAUUUCUCGCAUGAGAGAUAUUUAAAAGUUGGUUAUGCUAACACUAUGAGAUGGCUGUGCGGUGCAUUAGCUAGUUGGUGGGGUAAAGGCCUACCAAGGCGACGAUGCAUAGCCGACCUGAGAGGGUGAUCGGCCACACUGGGACUGAGACACGGCCCAGACUCCUACGGGAGGCAGCAGUAGGGAAUCUUCCGCAAUGGGCGAAAGCCUGACGGAGCAACGCCGCGUGAGUGAAGAAGGAUUUCGGUUCGUAAAGCUCUGUUGUUAGGGAAGAAUGGAUAUGUAGUAACUAUACAUAUAAGAGACGGUACCUAACCAGAAAGCCACGGCUAACUACGUGCCAGCAGCCGCGGUAAUACGUAGGUGGCAAGCGUUGUCCGGAAUUAUUGGGCGUAAAGCGCGCGCAGGUGGUUUAAUAAGUCUGAUGUGAAAGCCCACGGCUCAACCGUGGAGGGUCAUUGGAAACUGUUAAACUUGAGUGCAGGAGAGAAAAGUGGAAUUCCUAGUGUAGCGGUGAAAUGCGUAGAGAUUAGGAGGAACACCAGUGGCGAAGGCGGCUUUUUGGCCUGUAACUGACACUGAGGCGCGAAAGCGUGGGGAGCAAACAGG